UACAGAGGGUGCAAGCGUUAAUCGGAAUUACUGGGCGUAAAGCGUGCGUAGACGGUUACAUAAGUCGGGUGUGAAAGCCCCGGGCUCAACCUGGGAAUUGCAUUCGAGACUGCGUAGCUAGGGUGCGGAAGAGGGAAGCGGAAUUUCCGGUGUAGCGGUGAAAUGCGUAGAUAUCGGAAGGAACACCAGUGGCGAAGGCGGUCUGCUGGGCAGUUGCUGACACUGAGGCGCGACAGCGUGGGGAGCAAACAGG
Molecule: ribosomal RNA, 253 nt
Filed under: uncultured bacterium
Lineage: Bacteria
Description: partial 16S ribosomal RNA
Rfam family: Bacterial small subunit ribosomal RNA
Source: RNAcentral